UAUCCUGUCUGAAUAUGGGGGGACCAUCCUCCAAGGCUAAAUACUCCUGACUGACCGAUAGUGAACCAGUACCGUGAGGGAAAGGCGAAAAGAACCCCGGCGAGGGGAGUGAAAAAGAACCUGAAACCGUGUACGUACAAGCAGUGGGAGCACCCUUUGGGUGUGACUGCGUACCUUUUGUAUAAUGGGUCAGCGACUUAUAUUCUGUAGCAAGGUUAACCGAAUAGGGGAGCCGGAGGGAAACCGAGUCUUAACCGGGCGUUAAGUUGCAGGGUAUAGACCCGAAACCCGGUGAUCUAGCCAUGGGCAGGUUGAAGGUUGGGUAACACUAACUGGAGGACCGAACCGACUAAUGUUGAAAAAUUAGCGGAUGACCUGUGGCUGGGGGUGAAAGGCCAAUCAAACCGGGAGAUAGCUGGUUCUCCCCGAAAGCUAUUUAGGUAGCGCCUCGUGAAUUCAUCUCCGGGGGUAGAGCACUGUUUCGGCUAGGGGGCCAUCCCGGCUUACCAACCCGAUGCAAACUGCGAAUACCGGAGAAUGUUAUCACGGGAGACACACGGCGGGUGCUAACGUCCGUCGUGAAGAGGGAAACAACCCAGACCGCCAGCUAAGGUCCCAAAGUCAUGGUUAAGUGGGAAACGAUGUGGGAAGGCCCAGACAGCCAGGAUGUUGGCUUAGAAGCAGCCAUCAUUUAAAGAAAGCGUAAUAGCUCACUGGUCGAGUCGGCCUGCGCGGAAGAUGUAACGGGGCUAAACCAUG
Molecule: ribosomal RNA, 759 nt
Filed under: Salmonella enterica
Lineage: Bacteria; Pseudomonadati; Pseudomonadota; Gammaproteobacteria; Enterobacterales; Enterobacteriaceae
Also listed under: 1 other name
Description: partial 23S ribosomal RNA
Rfam family: Bacterial large subunit ribosomal RNA
Source: RNAcentral